Triticum urartu is the source of this 115-nucleotide non-coding RNA. Lineage: Eukaryota; Viridiplantae; Streptophyta; Magnoliopsida; Poales; Poaceae. The record is from Rfam.
CUUGUACUCCUUCCGUCCGAAAAUACUUGUCAUUGAAAUGGAUGUAUCUAGAUGUAUUUUAGUUCUAGACACAUCCAUUUUGAUGACAAGUAAUUCCGGACAGAGGGAGGACUUG